GCCGACGUGGCACAAUCUGGUACUGCGCAGGUCUUGAAAACCUGUUUCCGAAAGGAUAUCCCGGUUCAAAUCCGGGCGUCGGCG
This 84-nucleotide transfer RNA is filed under the name Candidatus Woesearchaeota archaeon. RNAcentral's name for it is "tRNA-Ser". It matches the Rfam family "tRNA". Rfam says of the family: Transfer RNA (tRNA) molecules are approximately 80 nucleotides in length. Their secondary structure includes four short double-helical elements and three loops (D, anti-codon, and T loops). The record is from RNAcentral. Lineage: Archaea; Nanobdellati; Candidatus Woesearchaeota.